Molecule: long non-coding RNA, 598 nt
Filed under: Lathyrus oleraceus (garden pea)
Lineage: Eukaryota; Viridiplantae; Streptophyta; Magnoliopsida; Fabales; Fabaceae
Description: Pisum sativum (pea) long non-coding RNA (PSAT_LNC025428)
Source: RNAcentral
UGGAAACCAUCUUUAUUUAUAAUCCUUUUUAGUGAUCAACCAGUUAACUUACAUAUUGAAGUCUUUUUUUUAUAAGCAAAGAGUAUCUGGAAAUGAGUAUUAUGGGUACUUAAACCCAACAAUAAAGAAAUCCACAAUUACAUGUCUUCUUCAAGUCUUGCACUAUCUAAAGGACUCAAACAUUUGAACUCAAUUCCUUCCAAUAUAGGUCUCACUCCUCCAGGUUCAAUAAAUAUGGAUUCAAGGUGUACUCUUGCAACUUCCUUCACCCUGCCAAGAGAUGAUGCUAGGGUAACUAUAUUAUACCUCAUCCUCCUUGCUUUCAUCCUCCCAUGGAAGAAUCUAGUGUUAAGAUCUCCUUCUUUGAUCCAUUUCUGCCUAGACUUUUGUUUUAGAAAACUUUCUUUAAGAAACAAAUUCCUCCAAACUAACUAUUGAGCAUCCUUUCUUUCUUCUAAUAAUAUGUAACUUGAAUCAAUGAUGAGAUGAUUAUCUAACAUAUUCAAAUCAGCAACAACUUUAUCUAUAUUCUAGUCAAGAAUUCCAAAAAUCUCCUUAUUCCACAUCCUCAGACUCUCCUUAGCACCAUGAAUGUCCG